UUUUUUUUUAGUUUUUGCUAUUUUUUGCAGCCAGUCGGAAAUGCAAACGAGACGUUUCGUUCAGCGUUUUUAUUGAGAAUUUGAACCGUUUUGGAAUCAGGGAAGUUCCAAGUCGCUGUGACGAAUCUGCAGUCGCGAAACACAAAACUGCGCAACUUGCCUUACAAUAACAGUCGUAACUCGAGACGGGGAGCAAGAUAACAUGGGAGCAACUUGACAUGUGACGCAGGGUUCCAUCAGCGGCACCAGAAAGUGACAAGUCGCUCAAAGAUAUCGACAAGCGUGUGUGCAGAAAAUCAGGUUGUGGCGGGACACCCAUCUGGCAGGUCUUCGAGGAGGUGCCAAGGAUGCUCAAGCAUCAGGGUCAUUCCAGCCAGCACCUCAGCAGCCGCAACACCAGGCAGCGCUCAAGGUGGGUGGAGGAGUGAGCAAUGGGAGGCGCUUAGAGGUCUGAAGCGGACGUGGAGCUGCGAGUGGUACGCCUCCUCCUACUACAGUGAUGAUGCUGUCAGCUGCCGCCAGUGGCUCCGGGAUGGUGAGGCAAUGUGAAAGAGAAAAAGACACGGACGGAGCGAGACAGAGAGAGAGAGAGAGCGAGCAGGAGUGCAGAGGUAAAGCAGAAAGGAAGGAGGGUGAAAGCGUUUAAGAGCGGGGAGGAAGGAUGGAGAAGAUAUAGGAAAAAGGGAAUGCGCCACCCCACUCUGCCUGUAUCGGUAUCAAUCAAUCAGGCAGUGGCAGAGUUAAUGAGUCACCGAUUCCCAUGACAUUGCAUGUGUAGCACAUACGUAACAGCCGCAUUUGCAGUCACGGUGCACGCAAUGUAUUGUUUUUUCCAUUGCAUGCAAUGUGGACAGGAAAUACACCUGUGACAUUUCAGCAUUAGCAGGUCCUUGCAUAUCUAAAUCACAAGGGGAAUGAUGUAAAGUCGGGUCCAUUACUAUUGGGACAAGAACAAAAUUCUCAUCGUUCUGGCUCUGAGCAUUAUCACGGAGGAAAUGGAAUGAAAUAAUCAAGAUGUGCUUUAACUGUAGACUUUCAGCUUGAAUUCACAUCAAAAACUGGUGAACGAUGGAGGAAUGAAAGCAGUUUGUAUACAUGCCUCUCACUUUUUUUCACCAAUCAUAAAUUAAACAAUACUUAGUUUCAAAUCCUUGCCUUUUACAACCUGCUCUGGAAUGCAUCGACGUCACCAG
This is a long non-coding RNA of Syngnathus acus (greater pipefish), 1193 nucleotides long. RefSeq lists it as uncharacterized. The transcript is spliced from 5 exons. The record is from RefSeq and is a predicted model, not a curated record. NCBI's taxonomy places the organism in Eukaryota, Metazoa, Chordata, Actinopteri, Syngnathiformes, Syngnathidae.